ACACGCAUGACACACUGCAUAUCAAUAAGCGGAGGAAAAGAAACUAACAAGGAUUCCCCUAGUAACGGCGAGUGAAGCGGGAAGAGCUCAAAUUUGAAAUCUUAAAGGGUUUCCCUUUACGAAUUGUAGUUUAAAGAAGUGUUUUCUGUUAGAGAGGUGGUAAAAGUUCUUUGGAAUAGGACAUCAUAGAGGGUGAGAAUCCCGUAUUUGAUCACUUUCUACUAACGUUGUGAUACACUUUCAAAGAGUCGGAUUGUUUGGGAAUGCAGUCCAAAAUGGGUGGUAAAUUUCAUCUAAAGCUAAAUAUUGGCGAGAGACCGAUAGCGAACAAGUACCGUGAGGGAAAGAUGAAAAGAACUUUGAAAAGAGAGUUAAACAGUACGUGAAAUUGUCAAAAGGGAAGCGUUUGACACCAGUGUUGUUUUUCCGAAAAUCAAUUAAAAAUGAUGGGAUUUUGUGUUGUAUUGACUUUAUCAGCUUUCUGCACUUUUUUCUUAUCUUUUUUAAUGCACUUUUCGUUUAACAAGUCAACAUCAAUUUCUUUUGUUGUAAAAGAGUCAUUGGAAGGUGGCUUUUUCUUCGGAAAAAGUGUUUAUAGCCUUUGGCUUCUGCAAUCGGAGAGAUUGAGGUCUGCAGCGUAGAUCCUUCGGGGUUAGAUACAUUUGUGCUAAGCUAUAGUUCUUUAUAGGACAACUUGUUGACUAUAAUCAAUCCUGUAACUUACUCGCUUAUGCUAUUUUACCUACGCUUAGGAUGUUGACUGAUAUGUAGUCGU
Molecule: ribosomal RNA, 775 nt
Filed under: uncultured Neocallimastigales
Lineage: Eukaryota; Fungi; Neocallimastigomycota; Neocallimastigomycetes; Neocallimastigales
Description: partial large subunit ribosomal RNA
Rfam family: Eukaryotic large subunit ribosomal RNA
Source: RNAcentral